UUCCUUAAAUUCAGGGUCCUGCUCACAUGGGAAAUACUUUCUGAGACUCACGGACCUCCUGCACAAGAACAUGAAACACCUGUGGUUCUUCCUCCUGCUGGUGGCAGCUCCCAGAGGGGUCCUGUCCCAGGUGCAGCUGCAGGAGUCGGGCCCAGGACUGGUGAAGCCUUCACAGACCCUGUCCCUCACCUGCGCUGUCUCUGGUGGCUCCAUCACCAGUGGUUAUUACUACUGGAGCUGGAUCCGCCAGCCCCCAGGGAAGGGACUGGAGUGGAUUGGGGGUAUCUAUACCAGUGGGAGCACCUACUACAACCCAUCCCUCAAGAGUCGAGUCACCAUAUCAGUAGACACGUCCAAGAACCAGUUCUCCCUGAAGCUGAGCUCUGUGACCGCCGCGGACACGGCCGUGUAUUACUGUGCGAGAGGCACGGUGAGGGGAGAGAAGAGGCCAUGUGGAGACAUAGUGGACUAGAAGAUGCAAGCCAAGAAGAAGCCGCACCAAGAACCAACCCUGCCAGCACCUGGACCUUGGACAUUCAGACUUCAGAAUGGUGAGAAAAUCAAUG
This is a non-coding RNA of Pan troglodytes (chimpanzee), 566 nucleotides long. The record is from the annotation of a RefSeq genome assembly. NCBI's taxonomy places the organism in Eukaryota, Metazoa, Chordata, Mammalia, Primates, Hominidae.